CCUACGGGAGGCAGCAGUAGGGAAUCUUCCACAAUGGGCGAAAGCCUGAUGGAGCAACGCCGCGUGGGUGAAGAAGGUCUUCGGAUCGUAAAACUCUGUUGUUAGAGAAGAAAGUGCGUGUGAGUAACUGUUCACGUUUCGACGGUAUCUAACCAGAAAGCCACGGCUAACUACGUGCCAGCAGCCGCGGUAAUACGUAGGUGGCAAGCGUUAUCCGGAUUUAUUGGGCGUAAAGGGAACGCAGGCGGUCUUUUAAGUCUGAUGUGAAAGCCUUCGGCUUAACCGGAGUAGUGCAUUGGAAACUGGGAGACUUGAGUGCAGAAGAGGAGAGUGGAACUCCAUGUGUAGCGGUGAAAUGCGUAGAUAUAUGGAAGAACACCAGUGGCGAAAGCGGCUCUCUGGUCUGUAACUGACGCUGAGGUUCGAAAGCGUGGGUAGCAAACAGGAUUAGAUACCCCAGUAGUC
RNAcentral lists this ribosomal RNA (465 nucleotides) under uncultured bacterium. RNAcentral describes it as "partial 16S ribosomal RNA". It matches the Rfam family "Bacterial small subunit ribosomal RNA", at positions 338 to 795 of the family's 1533-position model. The record is from RNAcentral.